RNAcentral lists this long non-coding RNA (2330 nucleotides) under Mytilus galloprovincialis (Mediterranean mussel). The record is from RNAcentral. Lineage: Eukaryota; Metazoa; Mollusca; Bivalvia; Mytilida; Mytilidae.
UUUUAAUUAAGGAUGUACUUAGGUGAUGUUUAGUAGUUUUUGUCAAAUGUUCGGCCUUGGUUUUUUUUCCUACGAUGCAGGGUAAAAUAUCUUACCCUGUAACACAUAUUUUUCUUUUCAUAUAAGACUUAAUAGCUCAUAAAAGUGCAUUUAUCAAAUUUAAACCGAAGAGGUUCGGUUUAAAUAGGUUUCACUGUAAACAAAACUUUCUUGAAUGUUUUAACUCUUGCCAUGCUUGUCAUCCCUGUUUUAUAAUCUCUUGAAACAUUUAAAGAAUAAACCAUUAAUUGGAUAUUGCGAUAGAAGAGUUAUUUCCGCAUGAAGUUAACUGAAAUUUAAAUCGGACGUAAUAACCUUUAUGGCUUUCGAGAAAUACUUCGUGUGCAUUGACAAAAUCAAAUGUUGCAUCUAAGACAAAUCAUCUUCAAAAACGUGUAUCAUAAUUGUGUGAAACAAUUACAUGCCACUGUUUGAUGACGUUUCGUCCCCGAGGGUAUCACCAGCCCAGUAGACAGCACUUCGGUGUUGACAUGAAUAUCAAUUAUAUGGUCAUUUUUAUAAAUUUGCUGUUCGCAAAAGUAUGAAUUAUUCGAAAUACUAAGGUUUUUAUUUUCGCAAACAUGAAUUACCUUGGACGCAUUUGGCACAACUUUUUUGGAAUUUUGGGUCCUUAAUGCUCUUCAACUUUGUACUUGUUUGGCUAUUUAACUAAAUUUUUUAUCUGAGCGUCACUGAUGAGUCUUAUGUAGACGAAACGCGCGUCUGGUGUAUUAAAUUAUAAUCCUGGUACCUUUGAUAACUAUAUACAAUUAUGUGGAAAUAGGUUUGUAUGUUUUCCUUUUUUUUUUCUUUUCAAGUAUUUUAAAGUGAUUAAAGCUACCAUAACUGCCCUUUUCUGUCAUUUCUUAUUUUCAUUUUUUGUUUUUUGCUUUUCUAUCAAUGUAAGUUUUUAAGUUUUAUUUAUGGUUUUUAUAACUUUAUUUAAAGACUGAACAAAGAGUUUUUGCGUCAUGUUCAGUUGUGUGUUUUGUACUAUUAUUUGUGUGUUUUUAUUUUUAUUUUUUUAGCCAUGGCGUUGUCAGUUUAUUUUCGAUCUAUGAGUUUGACUGUCCCUCUGGUAUCUUUCGCCCCUCUUACAGUCUUAAUUAUAAGACGUAACGACUGAUCAUCCAAUUUACUUACAGUCAAGUAUAUCUGUUCAAUCUAUAUUCAAACUUUUUAAAAAUUCUGUAUUUUUGUGAUUUUACUUUUUAAAUAAAAGCAAUAGUAGUUUACCACAUUACAAUAGUCAAAAAUAGAUUGAACUGAUACAAGUCUGGGUCAAAAACAAAAACUAAAAAAAUAUUCCUUACUUGGUACAGGACAUUAUAAGAAAAAUUGUGAGUUGAACCUGGUGUUAUGAAUAACCAAACCUCUCGCUCAUAAACUCUUAUCAAGACUUAGUUUUUUAGUUUCAUACUUUUCAGUUGGUGUCAAAAUGACCGUUUAAGAUUAAAAUUCAUUUACUAGUGAAAUAUUGUUGAACAUCUCUUAUUGAUUUGGAUUAUCUUUCCUUACCACUAAGUAGAUAUAUAAAUGAAUGUACAUUUUUGUAAAUGGUUCGGCGCUGUGUCGUGAAACCUAGCUAGAAGUCUUCCUUCCUUCAUAUUUUUACCAAUAUAUAUUGAAAAGGAAAAUAACUCUUCAUGAAUUUGGAAUUAUUACAACUUUUAUUGAAACAAACACUUCUUGAAUUUGUCUUUAGUUUAUAAACAAAUCCAUUUCUACAUAUUAAUACUAUCACAUUAAAGGGGUUUUAUAAUCGAAAGGGAUAAAAGAAAAUACCCCUUAUCGUCUAAAGUCAAUUUGUCAUUAAGAGAAAAACCCUACAGAUACGGAUCCAGGAUUUCAAAAGGGGGGACGAUUGAGACAAAAUGUGUUGUGGAUCUGGUUAAAAGACUGGAUACACCAUUAAUGAAUCUCUAUAAGGAAAUCCCGGGCACCAUUUCCACCCCUCCUAAAUCUGGUUUUACACUAUUGUCUUAAAGGUAGGGGCAAUACCUUUUUAUGGUAACCUGUUUUGGCCUUUUUUUAAGGUGUUGUUAGCUGUUAUCUGAGAUAAAUUUAAACUGUUAACUUUUUUCAACCCACUGGAUUAACUGUUAUCAGUAUUUGUUUGCUCCCCUCUUAAAGAUUUCUGUUAUUAAGUGAAAAUGUAACAAAGACGAGGAAAAAACCCCAAAUUUUAUGAAAGACGAGGCGGCAGAUACUUAGAAUAUUCAAAACUCAUAAAAAAGGGAAUAUGACUAUGCCAUUAUUUCUAUUUAUAGCCUAAUAGAGAACUCCCAUAA